UGUGCACAGGUGUCUAAAUGCUGGAUAGUAAGUUACCUAUUUCUCGAAGGAAAAGCUUUCACAAACUUGUUUGAACUCUUAAUGAAAGUGGUCAGCCUGGGUCUGAUGGAAUGAUCUGAUAAAUGUACGGUUUGAUGCAUUGUUUAUUUCUACAGAAUUUAAUGCACUUGUGGGUGGCAGAAGUGAGUGUAAGGUGACUUAUGGCCAUACAUUUUCUUGUAUUGCUGAUUGUGUAUGCAUCUAUCAGUUAAUGUAGCCUAGGUUUGAUGGAAAUAAUGUUAAAUAGUAUUACUAAUAUUUGUGAACAGUUUUACAUGAUUGGGGAUAGAUUAUAAUUUUGUUAAGUUAAAAUUCAUACAAAUAAAUCUAGCAUAUUUUAAGAAUUUCAAUUAGAAAAAUUGUUUCUGCAUCAAGAAAUACUUCUGUCAGACAAGUAAUUGAGCCAGAAAUCUAAAAAUUAAAUAUAUUUUGACAUUCAUUACCAUUAUGAUUUUCUUUUUAGUUUGUUUCAAUGUAACACUUUCUUAAAGGGGAUACAAUUCUUUAUUUACUAAUUGCUGACAUUUAGGUCUGUAGUUUUGAAAUCUCUAGGUGUAAAUGUCUCAUUUUGAAGGCUGAGAGUAAAAGUUGGUAGCCAUAAUUCAUUGGUACCCUAAGUUUAUUUGUCAAGGUUUAAAAAAACAAACAAUUAGUUUGAUAUAUAUUACUAGGGUCUGCAGACAAGGUAAGGAAUCAACUUUUACCAUCAUUUGUUAUGUUCAAUCACUCUUUCAUCAUCAUGUGCUCAAUUUUUUUUUAUUGUAUUUUUUCAUAUUGUGAAAAUUAUGAAUUUUGUGAAUAAUUAUUUUUUGUUUACUACUGAAAUAAAUUUUGAACUACUUCA
Molecule: non-coding RNA, 883 nt
Organism: Biomphalaria pfeifferi
Lineage: Eukaryota; Metazoa; Mollusca; Gastropoda; Planorbidae
Source: the annotation of a GenBank genome assembly